ACAGGUUUGCGCCUGUAUAAAUAGACAUUAAGCGCAAAGCGUCCCGCAAUUGUUGCGGGGGUUGUA
Molecule: ribozyme, 66 nt
Filed under: unclassified sequences
Also listed under: 1 other name
Description: pistol ribozyme
Rfam family: Pistol ribozyme
Source: RNAcentral